RNAcentral lists this ribosomal RNA (261 nucleotides) under uncultured bacterium. RNAcentral's name for it is "partial 16S ribosomal RNA". It matches the Rfam family "Bacterial small subunit ribosomal RNA", at positions 793 to 1055 of the family's 1533-position model. The record is from RNAcentral.
GUCCACGCCCUAAACGAUGAAUACUUGGUGUUGGCCGGCAACGGUCAGUGCCGUAGGAAACCUGAUAAGUAUUCCACCUGGGGAGUACGCUCGCAAGGGUGAAACUCAAAGGAAUUGACGGGGGCCCGCACAAGCGGUGGAGCAUGUGGUUUAAUUCGAUGCAACGCGAAGAACCUUACCUGGGCUUGAACUGCUGGUGGUAGGACCCUGAAAGGGGAACGACCCGCAAGGGAGCCAGUAGAGGUGCUGCAUGGCUGUCGU